GACAGAGGGGGCAAGCGUUGCUCGGAAUUACUGGGCGUAAAGGGCGCGUAGGCGGGAUGGCAAGUCGGUCGUGAAAUCCCUCGGCUCAACUGAGGAUCGUCGAUCGAUACUGCCGUUCUUGAGGAUUGCAGAGGAGACUGGAAUUCCUGGUGUAGCGGUGAAAUGCGCAGAUAUCAGGAAGAACACCCGUGGCGAAAGCGGCUCUCUGGAACGGUACUGACGCUGAGACGCGAAAGCGUGGGGAGCGAACAGG
This 253-nucleotide ribosomal RNA is filed under the name uncultured bacterium. Its description in RNAcentral is "partial 16S ribosomal RNA". It matches the Rfam family "Bacterial small subunit ribosomal RNA", at positions 524 to 776 of the family's 1533-position model. The record is from RNAcentral.